AACCCAUGGUGUGGGCAUUGGUUAGUGUAGCUCCUGAAUCUCUCAUAUGCUUCACCAAAACUCUCAUUUCUAUGUUGAGUGAAGCUGGAGAUUUGGUUUAUUAGCUU
Molecule: small nucleolar RNA, 107 nt
Organism: Eutrema salsugineum
Lineage: Eukaryota; Viridiplantae; Streptophyta; Magnoliopsida; Brassicales; Brassicaceae
Rfam family: Plant small nucleolar RNA R71
About the family: R71 is a member of the C/D box family of snoRNAs containing the C (UGAUGA) and D (CUGA) box motifs. Multiple nearly identical copies of this snoRNA have been identified in Arabidopsis, and it is thought to function as a 2'-O-ribose methylation guide for 18S ribosomal RNA.
Source: Rfam